This 611-nucleotide ribosomal RNA is filed under the name uncultured bacterium. RNAcentral describes it as "bacterial SSU rRNA". It matches the Rfam family "Bacterial small subunit ribosomal RNA", at positions 338 to 946 of the family's 1533-position model. The record is from RNAcentral.
CCUACGGGAGGCAGCAGUAGGGAAUAUUGGGCAAUGGAGGCAACUCUGACCCAGCCAUGCCGCGUGCAGGAAGACGGUCCUCUGGAUUGUAAACUGCUUUUGAAUGGGAAGAAUGUGCUCCUUGCGAGGGGUAAUGACGGUACCAUUAGAAUAAGCCACGGCUAACUACGUGCCAGCAGCCGCGGUAAUACGUAGGUGGCGAGCGUUAUCCGGAUUUAUUGGGUUUAAAGGGUGCGUAGGCGGCUUAAUAAGUCGGUGGUUAAAAGUAGCAGCUUAACUGUUUUACAUGCCAUCGAUACUGUUGAGCUUGAGAUAUUUGGAGGCAGCUAGAAUUUCCGGUGUAGCGGUGAAAUGCAUAGAUACCGGAAGGAAUACCAAUUGCGAAGGCAGGUUGCUACGAAUAAACUGACGCUGAUGCACGAAAGCGUGGGGAUCAAACAGGAUUAGAUACCCUGGUAGUCCACGCCGUAAACGAUGAUUACUAGUUGUUGGGGUUUAAGCCUUCAGUGACCAAGGGAAACCGAUAAGUAAUCCACCUGGGGAGUACGCCGGCAACGGUGAAACUCAAAGGAAUUGACGGNNGAGACGNGCGAGACGACGACGAGGGAGAG